CGUUGAAACACCAGUACCCGUAUGAUCACAGAAUUUAAGCAAUGUCGAGCCUGGUUAGUACCUAGAUGGGUGACCACUUUGGAAGAGCAGUUGCUGUAAG
Molecule: non-coding RNA, 100 nt
Organism: Acanthosepion pharaonis
Lineage: Eukaryota; Metazoa; Mollusca; Cephalopoda; Sepiida; Sepiidae
Source: the annotation of a GenBank genome assembly